GCCAGCGGCGAUAGCAUGUUGAAUACACCAGUUCUCCACAGAUCACUGAAGUUAAGCAACGUUGUGCGUGUUUGGUAUCCAGAUAGUUGACCAUCAGGGCAAUCACGUGCUGCUGGCU
This 118-nucleotide ribosomal RNA is filed under the name Diaphorina citri (Asian citrus psyllid). Lineage: Eukaryota; Metazoa; Arthropoda; Insecta; Hemiptera; Psyllidae. The record is from RNAcentral.